GGCCUCAUAGCUCAGUUGGCUAGAGCGUUGGCUGUUUUAAAGCCUUUCCCUUGAUGGCGUGGGUUCUAAUCCCACCGAGGCCG
RNAcentral lists this transfer RNA (83 nucleotides) under Schistocephalus solidus. It matches the Rfam family "tRNA". Rfam says of the family: Transfer RNA (tRNA) molecules are approximately 80 nucleotides in length. Their secondary structure includes four short double-helical elements and three loops (D, anti-codon, and T loops). Lineage: Eukaryota; Metazoa; Platyhelminthes; Cestoda; Diphyllobothriidea; Diphyllobothriidae. The record is from Rfam by way of RNAcentral.